This is a long non-coding RNA of Cynocephalus volans (Philippine flying lemur), 504 nucleotides long. RefSeq lists it as uncharacterized. The record is from RefSeq and is a predicted model, not a curated record. Lineage: Eukaryota; Metazoa; Chordata; Mammalia; Dermoptera; Cynocephalidae. The transcript has 3 exons.
UGCCAUGUGAUACCCUGCAUUGCUGCAGAACCACCACCAAGAAAAAGGCCCUCACCAGAUGUGUUCCCUGGACUUUGGUCUUCCCAGUCUCUGCAACUCUGCCAUGUUGUGAAGACACUCAAGCAGCCCUUAGAGGUUUCACGUGGCAAGGUGCUGAGGUUUCCUGACAAGAGCAAGGAACCGAGGCCUUUGUCCUAUGAGCCAUGAGAGUGAGUCACCUUGGAAGCAGAUUCUCCAGCCCCUGUUGAGUCUUGAGAUGACAGCAGCUCUAGCCAACAUCUUGACUACAACCUCAUGAGUGACCUUGAACCAAAACCAUCCAGGAUUAAACACGGAGGAGGGAGGAUUGGUAGAAAAGGGCAGAGUCUUACAUGAUCAGAGCUGCUCCUGAAGGCUGAGCGGGGAGAGAAGGCUACCAUGGAGCAAAGCAACUUCCACCCAAAUGCUCCAUAAGAAUGAGAGUGAGCAUGUGGGUGUGUGACCCCCAGAAAACACCACACAAGA